Molecule: long non-coding RNA, 169 nt
Filed under: Felis catus (domestic cat)
Lineage: Eukaryota; Metazoa; Chordata; Mammalia; Carnivora; Felidae
Description: lncRNA (ENSFCAG00000051735.1)
Source: RNAcentral
AAAAUUAGAAUACCCCCCCCGCCCCCCCCAGUGUAGACUCUCUUUCCUUUCAUUCUUCUCUGUACCUCCUGAUAAGAACAGUUGCCUCCGAAGUCUGGAGCGGGUUCCUGAACGACCCCUUGACAUCAGGUCCCUGAUUUGUGAGUGCCUGGUGAAUCUAAAGUUUUAG